Molecule: long non-coding RNA, 992 nt
Organism: Heterocephalus glaber (naked mole-rat)
Lineage: Eukaryota; Metazoa; Chordata; Mammalia; Rodentia; Bathyergidae
Source: RefSeq, a predicted model, not a curated record
GCGCGGGGAUUGGCGGCGCGGCGCGGGGCUCGCCGGGAGCAGCCGGGCCGUGGAGCUGCGGGGCGUGUAUCCCGGAGCCCGGGGCGCGUCGUCUGGGGGGUAACCCGAACCCUCGGAGCUCUUGAAGCUUCGAGGGUGGCUUAGCUUCAGUGUUUUGGCCGAGAACGCCCUUAAAUCUUAAAAUAAAACCCGCCUGCGGACUGUGAGGGAGGACAGAGGACGCGAGCCCGCCCUACAGCGCCCAGCUCGGGCCUGGAAGAUGGGAUGCGCAGGGCUUGGACUGUAGGAUGCGGGACCAGGAGCCCCGCUUUCCGCCGGCGCGGACUCCUGAUCCCCCACCCAACCACCCCAGCCAGCCCUCAGUGCCCUGUCACACUCACAAAGGAGAUGCAGGCGGCCAGGAGAAGGAUUCGCACCAGGAGCGGGGAGCUCUACCCAGAGAAAAAGAAGAAAACGACAUUUCAAUCGGGGUUCAGCUUCAUGCCCCCCACCCCCAGGACUUUAUGGCUAAGCAGGAGGAAUGCCCAAACAUGGAGGGGAGCCGAAGAUGGGCAGCUUCGGGGAGCGGAGCAUGAGCAGAGGGAAGGAGGCAAGCUUUACAGGGCACUCCUGCCAGCGGGGCCCUUUCAGGCUGGAGACGAGGGACUGGAAUCCCAGCUAUGAAGGACAGGUAGUAGACCUGGCUGUGGCUGACCAGUUCCAAACUUCUGUUUAACCGUCAGUAAACACACACUUGGUAGGAGCCUAAGUCAAGAAUUCAGAGCAGGAAGGACGCCUGGCAGUCAUCAGUCCUGUCACCGUCCAGCCAAUUAAGAGAAACUGCUGGAGGCCUCAGGAAGCACUGUUGAAUCCCACUUCUCAAUCGGAGCCAGAAAGGCCCUGGAUGCUGGCCUUGGCUCUGGGCCUCACUGCAUGGACCGGCCCCCCCAGGCCCUGUUGCAAGCACAGCCACAGCCAUCACCUUGGAACUGAGAUAAACCCCUUUAUUUGUU